GUGCCUUUCUGCAGCCCCAGGAGGGCGGGGAGGGUGCAGGAGGUCAUCGUGGGGCUGGAGCGGCUGGCCUUCGCCUUCGAGAAGGAGGUGGAGACGCAGAAGGGCACUGGGCUUCUGAUUUCCAGGCCAUGGACAGGGACUGCAACAAUAAGGAACGUCCGUUCCUCCACGUGAAGCCGGCCUUCAAGACCCAGCACUGUCCGUGGUACGACCGAGGUUUCUGCAAGCACGGUCCACUGUGUUAAGUACCGACAUGUCCGCAGGACAAAGUGUACUAACUACUUAAAGCUGGCUUCUGCCCGGAAGGACCCAGUCCUAAGAUGAAUGUUUCAUUCAACCCAAGCUACCUGAAGCUUGUCAAGCAGCCCCUGGGGUCCGUACUUCCUCCUGCCUGGGAACACCGCGGGGCCCCCUCCCUGACAAGAGUGCCUGCCUCCUCAUCCUCAGACGAGGCCCCAUGAGCCGGGGGCCGCCCACUGCCUGGGGCUCAGGUGCUGGAGCAGGCCAUGCUACAGGGUGAGUGAUGAUGGAGCUGGGCUGCUGCCGGGCUGAGGACCAGGGGAGGGGUGAUUAGCAGCAGGUUAAGAAGCCAGACUCAGGUUUUGGUGAAUUAAGAGAGAAUGGGGCAAUUUGGCUGAUAAACCAAAUGUUCUGAUUGUAAGGUCUCAACCUUACUUUAUUUGCUUCCCCUGCCAGUUUCUUUCUUUAAAAGGCUAAGGAGUUAGACAUCUUCCAGGCCCUGUUUUGCUGCCCAGUGAUCCCUUGAGUUAUUUAUACAUAAUGGUCUUAAGAUGUGCUGGGGGGAGGGGGCAGCUUGGUAAGGAAGGGGAUGUCACGCAGCUUGCGUUUUUUAAAGAAUUAAUUUUAUUUUUGGCUGUGCUGGGUCUCCAGUUGCGGCCAGCGGGGGCUCUUCUCUAGCUGUGGAGCUCGGCCUUCUCGUCGCGGGGGCUCCUCUGGCUGUGGAGCUCGGCCUCCUCGUCACGGGGGCUCCUCUCUAGCUGCGGAGCUCGGCCUUCUUGUCGUGGGGGCUCCUCUGGCUGCGCUCAGCCUUCUCGUCGCGGGGGCUCCUCUGGCUGCGCUCAGCCUUCUCGUCGCGGGGGCUCCUCUGGCUGCGCUCAGCCUUCUCGUCGCGGGGGCUCCUCUGGCUGCGGAGCCUGGGCUCUGGGCCCGGGGGCUCAGUAGUUCCCCACACAGGCCUAGUUGCCCCACUGCCUGUGGGGUCUUCCUGGAUCCGGGAUUGAACUCGUGUCCCCCGCAUUGGCAGGCGGAUUCUCAACCACUGGACCACCAGGGAAGCCCACACUUUGCCUUUCCUGGUUGCUAUCUUUGGUUCAUCAGGAAGAAAACCAUCAUGUUUCACUCCUUCAAGAGACAGAAUGUAAAUUGUCCUCUGCAUUCUCUGUUUUGCAAGACGGCAGUAGUGCAGGGAUGAGAGGUGAGGGGGGCACAGGGCUCGCCCUCCUCAAACGAUGCUGUCCUCCUCUUUACGUGUCCAGCCCUGUUCUCUGGGUUAGCGAUGCUGGGUGUGGAUCUCAAGGCCUUUCUCAGGCCAAACAAGGAACUUCAUUUAAGAGUAGAAGCCAGGUUCCUCAGUAAGCCAGCUAACGGUCUCCUAUGCUGCCCAGGAGAAUUCGGCAUUUUUUUUCUCUUGGGAUGUGAAUUUACAAAAAGUCACACGGUUAACUUUUUCUCUUUUAGUGUUGAAAAAUGAGCUGUUAUGCCAGUAAGUGUCAACUGGUAGGAUUCAUUAAAACACAAGACCCCACGUUGGUCUGGGGAACUGGAGGACCUUCUGUAGUGAAGAUGCUGGAAGGCCGUGCUGCCCGCUAACCAGCACAGAGGAGGCCGAAGCAGCCUGCUUCCCGCUUCCUCUUCUCCUCUAAGUGAGCGAGCUGCUGAAGACACAGCAGGAGUGGGGGCUCACUGUCCGUGGCAGCAACGAGUUAGUCGUAGAGCAGGGAAGUGCAAUGCCCGCACGGCCAGCUUGAGGGUGCAGCCUGCUCGGCUCCCCAUGGCCGCAUGCACACAGGCACGCCGCUCCCGGGCACUUGCGCUGCACCCAGCCUGAGCUACUGCUGUAAACUGGCGAUUAAAUCAAGUUUCUUUUGCACGACAGCUGCUUCCCUGGACGGCUUCCUUAAAUUCAGGAUUUGAUACUGUGCUCGUCUUACGUGAGGGAUCACGGGGGCAGGGAGGGGAGGUAGACGGUACCAACGAGGCUUGGCCCAGGAGGUGAGGAAGUGACGUGGGGCAGCGAGCACCAUGUGAUCUACAUCAUCGUCUAAGUCAGCCACCUGGGCAGCCUAACCCAUGGGGCGAGGCUGGGGGAGGCCAGGCCAGGCCCGCUGGAGGAAGAGAAGAGGGAUGGUGUGGAGGGACCAGGCCCGCCGGUCUUGCAGACACAGGCAGCGGCCUUAUCCCGCUUGGUGGAAGGGGAGAGGGCGGGGGGCAAGACCAUCCAAGAGCACGCUGGCCCAGCAGACAGCUCCUCCCUGGGCGGGUAUGUGACAC
Bos taurus (domestic cattle) is the source of this 2511-nucleotide long non-coding RNA. The record is from Ensembl. NCBI's taxonomy places the organism in Eukaryota, Metazoa, Chordata, Mammalia, Artiodactyla, Bovidae.